GACGAACGCUGGCGGCGUGCUUAACACAUGCAAGUCGAACGGAAAGGCCCUGCUUUUGUGGGGUGCUCGAGUGGCGAACGGGUGAGUAACACGUGAGUAACCUGCCCUUGACUUUGGGAUAACUUCAGGAAACUGGGGCUAAUACCGGAUAGGAGCUCCUGCUGCAUGGUGGGGGUUGGAAAGUUUCGGCGGUUGGGGAUGGACUCGCGGCUUAUCAGCUUGUUGGUGGGGCAGUGGCUUACCAAGGCUUUGACGGGUAGCCGGCCUGAGAGGGUGACCGGCCACAUUGGGACUGAGAUACGGCCCAGACUCCUACGGGAGGCAGCAGUGGGGAAUAUUGCACAAUGGGCGGAAGCCUGAUGCGGCAACGCCGCGUGCGGGAUGACGGCCUUCGGGUUGUAAACCGCUUUCGCCUGUGACGAAGCGUGAGUGACGGUAAUGGGUAAAGAAGCACCGGCUAACUACGUG
This 468-nucleotide ribosomal RNA is filed under the name uncultured bacterium. Its description in RNAcentral is "partial 16S ribosomal RNA". It matches the Rfam family "Bacterial small subunit ribosomal RNA", at positions 28 to 507 of the family's 1533-position model. The record is from RNAcentral.